This is a non-coding RNA of Tursiops truncatus (common bottlenose dolphin), 41 nucleotides long. The record is from Rfam. NCBI's taxonomy places the organism in Eukaryota, Metazoa, Chordata, Mammalia, Artiodactyla, Delphinidae.
ACUGAGGUAUGGCAGAAGUACAAGGAAUUCAACAUCUCAAA